AGAUGGCGACCGGCGCACGGGUGAGUAACACGUAUCCAACCUGCCGAUAACUCGGGGAUAGCCUUUCGAAAGAAAGAUUAAUACCCGAUGGCAUAAUAGAAUCGCAUGGUUUGAUUAUUAAAGAAUUUCGGUUAUCGAUGGGGAUGCGUUCCAUUAGUUUGUUGGCGGGGUAACGGCCCACCAAGACUACGAUGGAUAGGGGUUCUGAGAGGAAGGUCCCCCACAUUGGAACUGAGACACGGUCCAA
RNAcentral lists this ribosomal RNA (247 nucleotides) under uncultured bacterium. Its description in RNAcentral is "partial 16S ribosomal RNA". It matches the Rfam family "Bacterial small subunit ribosomal RNA", at positions 86 to 334 of the family's 1533-position model. The record is from RNAcentral.